CAGAGAGGGUGCGAGACCUGUACGGAAAGUAGUAUAGUUGGUAUGGUUACUCCUUGGAGUCGGGUUGCUUGAAAGUGCAGCCUAAAGUUGGUGAUAAACUUCAUCUAAGGCUAAAUAUCGACGCGAAAUCGAUAGCAAACAAGUACCGUGAGGGAAAGUUGCAAAGAACUUUGAAGAGAGAGUUCAAGAGAACGUGAAAUCGCUGAAGUGGAACCGGAGAGAGUUAACAUAACUUGGUAGCUAUAUCCUCUAAAGUCGCUUAACUGUGGCUCUGGGGGGUGGACGCUACCUGUUGUUGCACUGACUGCGUUGAUUGUGCUUUCCGAACAGUAUAGUGUUGCCCACUUUGUGGUGUCUUGCUUUCUGGGAGGUUUGUCAUAAUUAACGUAAAGCCAAUUCCCUUUGGAGUCAGUGUGAAAGUUAACCACCUUUCCGACCCGUCUUGAAACACGGACCGAGGAGUGUAAUUUAUACGCGAGUCAAGGGGUGGUGAAAACCCUAGGGGCGGAAUGAAAGUAAAGGCCGGUUAACCGGUUGACAUGGGAUCCGCUCUUCGGAGCGGCGCACCAUGGCCCUGUCUUGUCUGCUUGCAGAUGGGCAGCGGUAGAGCGUAUAGUUUGCGACCCGAAAGAUGGUGAACUAUGCUUGAGCAGGACGAAGCCAGAGGAAACUCUGGUGGAAGUCCGUAUCGGUUCUGACGUGCAAAUCGAUCGAUAGAC
This 719-nucleotide ribosomal RNA is filed under the name Heterorhabditis bacteriophora. RNAcentral describes it as "eukaryotic LSU rRNA". It matches the Rfam family "Eukaryotic large subunit ribosomal RNA", at positions 204 to 910 of the family's 3401-position model. The record is from RNAcentral. Lineage: Eukaryota; Metazoa; Nematoda; Chromadorea; Rhabditida; Heterorhabditidae.